UAGGGAAUCUUCCACAAUGGACGCAAGUCUGAUGGAGCAACGCCGCGUGAGUGAAGAAGGUUUUCGGAUCGUAAAGCUCUGUUGUUGGUGAAGAAGGAUAGAGGUAGUAACUGGCCUUUAUUUGACGGUAAUCAACCAGAAAGUCACGGCUAACUACGUUCCAGCAGCCGCGGUAAUACGUAGGUGGCAAGCGUUGUCCGGAUUUAUUGGGCGUAAAGCGAGCGCAGGCGGAAGAAUAAGUCUGAUGUGAAAGCCCUCGGCUUAACCGAGGAACUGCAUCGGAAACUGUGUUGCUUGAGUGCAGAAGAGGAGAGUGGAACUGCAUGUGUAGCGGUGGAAUGCGUAGAUAUAUGGAAGAACACCAGUGGCGAAGGCGACUCUCUGGUCUGCAACUGACGCUGAGGCUCGAAAGCAUGGGUAGCGAACAGG
RNAcentral lists this ribosomal RNA (429 nucleotides) under bacterium. RNAcentral describes it as "partial 16S ribosomal RNA". It matches the Rfam family "Bacterial small subunit ribosomal RNA", at positions 355 to 776 of the family's 1533-position model. The record is from RNAcentral.